This 396-nucleotide ribosomal RNA is filed under the name uncultured bacterium. Its description in RNAcentral is "partial 16S ribosomal RNA". It matches the Rfam family "Bacterial small subunit ribosomal RNA", at positions 523 to 918 of the family's 1533-position model. The record is from RNAcentral.
AUACGUAGGGAGCGAGCGUUGUCCGGAAUUACUGGGUGUAAAGGGAGCGUAGGCGGGAGUGCAAGUCAGAUGUGAAAUACAUGGGCUCAACCCAUGGGCUGCAUUUGAAACUGCAUUUCUUGAGUGAAGUAGAGGUACGCGGAAUUCCUGGUGUAGCGGUGAAAUGCGUAGAUAUCAGGAGGAACACCGGUGGCGAAGGCGGCUUACUGGGCUUUUACUGACGCUGAGGCUCGAAAGCGUGGGGAGCAAACAGGAUUAGAUACCCUGGUAGUCCACGCUGUAAACGAUGAUUACUAGGUGUGGGGGGACUGACCCCUUCCGUGCCGCAGUUAACACAAUAAGUAAUCCACCUGGGGAGUACGGCCGCAAGGUUGAAACUCAAAUGAAUUGACGGGG